RNAcentral lists this long non-coding RNA (363 nucleotides) under Salmo salar (Atlantic salmon). RNAcentral describes it as "lncRNA (ENSSSAG00000110315.1)". Lineage: Eukaryota; Metazoa; Chordata; Actinopteri; Salmoniformes; Salmonidae. The record is from RNAcentral.
CUUGGACUGAAGCUAGGGGCUAUGGAGGUGUUGUUCUGAUAGACAUGGACUGAGGAUAGGGGCUAUGGAGGUGUUGUUCUGAUAGACAUGGACUGAGGAUAGGGGCUAUGGAGGUGUUGUUCUGAUAGACAUGGACUGAAGCUAGGGGCUAUGGAGGUGCUGUUCUGAUAGACAUGGACUGAGGAUAGGGGCUAUGGAGGUGUUGUUCUGAUAGACAUGGACUGAGGAUAAGGGCUAUGGAGGUGCUGUUCUGAUAGACAUGGACUGAGGAUAGGGGCUAUGGAGGUGUUGUUCUGAUAGACAUGGACUGAGGAUAAGGGCUAUGGAGGUGCUGUUCUGAUAGACAUGGACUGAGGAUAAGGG